AGCGUUGUCCGGAUUUAUUGGGCGUAAAGCGAGCGCAGGCGGUUUCUUAAGUCUGAUGUGAAAGCCCCCGGCUCAACCGGGGAGGGUCAUUGGAAACUGGGAGACUUGAGUGCAGAAGAGGAGAGUGGAAUUCCAUGUGUAGCGGUGAAAUGCGUAGAUAUAUGGAGGAACACCAGUGGCGAAGGCGGCUCUCUGGUCUGUA
RNAcentral lists this ribosomal RNA (202 nucleotides) under Enterococcus sp. NC9. Its description in RNAcentral is "partial 16S ribosomal RNA". It matches the Rfam family "Bacterial small subunit ribosomal RNA", at positions 537 to 738 of the family's 1533-position model. Lineage: Bacteria; Bacillati; Bacillota; Bacilli; Lactobacillales; Enterococcaceae. The record is from RNAcentral.